This 492-nucleotide ribosomal RNA is filed under the name uncultured bacterium. Its description in RNAcentral is "partial 16S ribosomal RNA". It matches the Rfam family "Bacterial small subunit ribosomal RNA", at positions 29 to 507 of the family's 1533-position model. The record is from RNAcentral.
AGUGAACGCUGGCGGUAGGCCUAACACAUGCAAGUCGAACGGCAGCACAGUAAGAGCUUGCUCUUACGGGUGGCGAGUGGCGGACGGGUGAGGAAUACAUCGGAAUCUACUUUUUCGUGGGGGAUAACGUAGGGAAACUUACGCUAAUACCGCAUACGGCCUACGGGUGAAAUCAGGGGAUCUUCGGACCUUGCGCGAUUGAAUGAGCCGAUGUCGGAUUAGCUAGUUGGCGGGGUAAAGGCCCACCAAGGCGACGAUCCGUAGCUGGUCUGAGAGGAUGAGCAGCCACACUGGAACUGAGACACGGUCCAGACUCCUACGGGAGGCAGCAGUGGGGAAUAUUGGACAAUGGGCGCAAGCCUGAUCCAGCCAUACCGCGUGGGUGAAGAAGGCCUUCGGGUUGUAAAGCCCUUUUGUUGGGAAAGAAAAGCAGCAGGUUAAUACCCCGCUGUUCUGACGGUACCCAAAGAAUAAGCACCGGCUAACUUCGUG